CCCUUAGAUGUCCUGGGCCGCACGCGUGCUACACUGAUGCAUACAGCGAGUACUUUCCAGCUCCGCGAGGCAGCUGGUAAUCAGCAAUAUGCAUCGUGCUGGGGAUAGAUCUUUGGAAUUAUAGAUCUUGAACGAGGAAUUCCUAGUAAGCGCAAGUCAUUAGCUUGCGCUGAUUAAGUCCCUGCCCUUUGUACACACCGCCCGUCGCUCCUACCGAUUUCGAGUGAUUCGGUGAACCUUUUGGACAGCGUCUGUCCUCGUGUCAGAUGCUGAAAGUCAAGUAAACCAUAUCACUUAGAGGAAGGAGAAGUCGUAACA
RNAcentral lists this ribosomal RNA (318 nucleotides) under uncultured eukaryote. Its description in RNAcentral is "partial 18S ribosomal RNA". It matches the Rfam family "Eukaryotic small subunit ribosomal RNA", at positions 1470 to 1796 of the family's 1831-position model. The record is from RNAcentral.